RNAcentral lists this ribosomal RNA (498 nucleotides) under uncultured bacterium. RNAcentral describes it as "partial 16S ribosomal RNA". It matches the Rfam family "Bacterial small subunit ribosomal RNA", at positions 30 to 523 of the family's 1533-position model. The record is from RNAcentral.
AUUGAACGCUGGCGGCAUGCCUUACACAUGCAAGUCGAACGGUAACAGGUCUUCGGAUGCUGACGAGUGGCGAACGGGUGAGUAAUACAUCGGAACGUGCCCGAUCGUGGGGGAUAACGAAGCGAAAGCUUUGCUAAUACCGCAUAAGAUCUACGGAUGAAAGCAGGGGACCGCAAGGCCUUGCGCGAACGGAGCGGCCGAUGGCAGAUAAGGUAGUUGGUGGGAUAAAAGCUUACCAAGCCGACGAUCUGUAGCUGGUCUGAGAGGACGAACAGCCACACUGGGACUGAGACACGGCCCAGACUCCUACGGGAGGCAGCAGUGGGGAAUUUUGGACAAUGGGCGAAAGCCUGAUCCAGCCAUGCCGCGUGCAGGAUGAAGGCCUUCGGGUUGUAAACUGCUUUUGUACGGAACGAAAAGACUCUUUCUAAUAAAGAGGGUCCAUGACGGUACCGUAAGAAUAAGCACCGGCUAACUACGUGCCAGCCGCCGCAGUAA